UCCGGUUUGUCACCGGCAGUCCCAUUAGAGUGCUCAACUGAAUGUAGCAACUAAUGGCAAGGGUUGCGCUCGUUGCGGGACUUAACCCAACAUCUCACGACACGAGCUGACGACAGCCAUGCAGCACCUGUGUGAUGGUUCCCUUUCGGGCACUCCCAAAUCUCUCCGGGAUUCCAUCCAUGUCAAGGGUAGGUAAGGUUUUUCGCGUUGCAUCGAAUUAAUCCACAUCAUCCACCGCUUGUGCGGGUCCCCGUCAAUUCCUUUGAGUUUUAAUCUUGCGACCGUACUCCCCAGGCGGUCUACUUCACGCGUUAGCUGCGUUACCAAGUCAAUUAAGACCCGACAACUAGUAGACAUCGUUUAGGGCGUGGACUAC
This 376-nucleotide unclassified non-coding RNA is filed under the name uncultured Gammaproteobacteria bacterium. RNAcentral's name for it is "contains 16S-23S intergenic spacer region". The record is from RNAcentral. Lineage: Bacteria; Pseudomonadati; Pseudomonadota; Gammaproteobacteria.